GAGCAUUUGAAAAGCUUAGAAAGACUAAUGAGUCUGGAAAUGAAACUGUGAUCCUUUGCCCCGAGGUCUCUUAGGCCACUUCCCACCCUUCAGUCUGGGCCCUAAGAGAAACAUCUUAGAAAGAAAACACGUACGUUCAAAGACCUGAAGGAGGAGAACAAGUGUGCUCAGGGGGCCAAGUGAACUACAGAUUAUCCCAAGCAGGACAAAGGAAAUGACUAAAUAACUCUACACAUACAGAAGGAACCAGCACCCGAGACACGAGUCAUUAAGAAAGCUAUUAAUACAAUAAAAUAUUGUCCUUAAUGACUACUCUACAAUAUUUUGUUUUUUGGAGUCUUGGAACAGCAGUUUCAAUCAUAUUGCAAAGAGGACCAUGAAGAUCUCUGUGUCCUAAAGUUUAGCAUUCCAUGAUCUUUGGAUCAUAUACAAAUGACUCUGUGAUUUUUGUGCUAUUAAUAUUAUGGAAAUUAGCUAAUAUAGAGAUUUUUAAUUUGCCAUAUCUAUUUUCUACAUUAAACGCUUAAGAUUACAUUUACUAUGAAAUU
RNAcentral lists this long non-coding RNA (548 nucleotides) under Bos taurus (domestic cattle). Its description in RNAcentral is "long non-coding RNA NONBTAT025283". Lineage: Eukaryota; Metazoa; Chordata; Mammalia; Artiodactyla; Bovidae. The record is from RNAcentral.